Long non-coding RNA from Aphis gossypii (cotton aphid), 790 nucleotides. RefSeq lists it as uncharacterized. Lineage: Eukaryota; Metazoa; Arthropoda; Insecta; Hemiptera; Aphididae. The record is from RefSeq and is a predicted model, not a curated record. The transcript has 4 exons.
CACUGCUGCCGCACACUAUUGGGUUACAAUAAUAAUAUCUAAUACGUUUAAUAAUGUUAUUAUAAUGUUAUAUAGGUGCCGAUACGAUAUUAUAAUAUUAUGCGCUGGGAAUAUGGCUCGGUUUCGAAAAAAAAUAUAUACGAGUAAAUCCCGAGGCGUGCCUUAAAUUUAAUUGAGAACUCGUUAUUGUAUAGCAGCAGUUUAUAUAGGUGUAUUCGCGUAUUUAUAAUAUGUACGCAGGUACAUCGCCUCACGAGGAUCCGGCAACUAUAUCGGUCGACUCAUUCGAUGAUAAUAAUAAUAAUAAUAUGAUACAACUAUUAUACACAAACAGAAAUGGAGAAAUUCAGAGACAUUAUGUGUUUGCGAAUAAAGUUUAACUCUACGCGUAACUGUGAAUCCAUUGCAAAGAAUAACUCAGUGACGAGGAAAAUAUUUACAAGCUACAUCAAGCUGCAGUAACUAACAUUGUACGUAACACUCAUUCAAUUAGUUGCUGUAAUUCUGUGCGAUUAAAAAAAAUAUUUAAUACGUAUGUUGACCUCGUGGUCGAAGUAAUCAGCAACUAUAUGGGACUGCAACGCCGUUAUUUUAGUAUCCUCAUUCUUUAUGAACGUAUCACGUGUACGGCACAUCAAGUAACGUACUAAAUUAUAAUGUAUCUGUACUCUAUAGAUUUAUUAUAUUGUUUUAUUCUACUAUAAUAGUUCGUCAUGACUAAUCGAAUGAGACCGGUUUUAAGAUUUAACGAUAUACGUAAUAAUGUAAGUAAUAACAUACAAGACAUCAA